Molecule: ribosomal RNA, 253 nt
Filed under: uncultured bacterium
Lineage: Bacteria
Description: partial 16S ribosomal RNA
Rfam family: Bacterial small subunit ribosomal RNA
Source: RNAcentral
UACAUAGGGAGCAAGCGUUAUCCGGAUUUAUUGGGUGUAAAGGGUGCGUAGACGGGAAAUUAAGUUAGUUGUGAAAUCCCUCGGCUCAACUGAGGAACUGCAACUAAAACUGAUUUUCUUGAGUGCUGGAGAGGAAAGUGGAAUUCCUAGUGUAGCGGUGAAAUGCGUAGAUAUUAGGAGGAACACCAGUGGCGAAGGCGACUUUCUGGACAGUAACUGACGUUGAGGCACGAAAGUGUGGGGAGCAAACAGG